Harpia harpyja (harpy eagle) is the source of this 605-nucleotide long non-coding RNA. RefSeq lists it as uncharacterized. The record is from RefSeq and is a predicted model, not a curated record. Lineage: Eukaryota; Metazoa; Chordata; Aves; Accipitriformes; Accipitridae. The transcript is spliced from 3 exons.
GCACCAUUUGUAACCAUAGCUGUUAUUACAAAUGAGGUCAUCCAUAUUAGAAUGAAGAUCUGAUCUGCAGCCAAUAAAAAAUAUGUGGGUUGAAAACAUCCACAACAUCACCAAGAGCCGCCGCCUUUCAAUCUGCUGAAAAUGCCAGUGAGCCACCUCCCUUGGUCUUCCAUCUUCGGGAUAUUAUGUGCUCCCAGUCCUGGGGAGGGUCUCAGGGAAAAGGCUAGAUCAACUGAUGAAAAGUGCCAGAAAAGCUGUUAUCAACGAAUAUCUGCAUUUGUGAAUAAUUUCCAUGUAGCCUUUCAGACGUGGGAACCUUGGCACCCAUGUAGAAAAAUAUUACUACAUUGAAUCCACUGAUGUUUCCUUACCGUGAACAAUUCAAAUAUGAAGUAUAAACUGCCAGCACGGUCCUUGAUAAAACAAAAUUGAUACUCUGCAAAAGCUGUUUUCACACUCUUCCCCAUAUGGUCUAACUGCACGCCAAAUAAAAUCAUCGAGAAUAUAGGGUUAUGACAACAUUUGUUUGUUGUGCUUGAAAAUUGAUGUCAACAUCCUAUACAUGUCCUCUAACUAUAGCAAAACAGUAAAAAAGUCACACCACA